GGAAAGGAUGACGAAUACGAAAAAACGCAUAUGAAAAUUUCGGACUCAGUGUGCAAGGACCUUAACUCUCUAUGCUCUUGAGAUUUAUAAUGGAACCAGAGCGAUUCUUACUGUAAAUGUCCAGGCACUAAACCCUGCCUGUGUGGUCUGGGUUUUUUUUUCUUUGCUUUGGUGAGUGAGUGUGUUCAGCCUGCCUACCUGAUCAGAUUGAAGUGUACGGCACUGUGUUAAGAGAAUGCACAGGUGAACCUGACCCGAGAUCAGUUUGCCAGCAGAGGGACCAAAGGGGGAAAGGCAGAGGCUGUUUAUGCUGAUCUAGAAACAGUUCUACUAUUCAUACU
Sinocyclocheilus rhinocerous is the source of this 341-nucleotide long non-coding RNA. RefSeq lists it as uncharacterized. NCBI's taxonomy places the organism in Eukaryota, Metazoa, Chordata, Actinopteri, Cypriniformes, Cyprinidae. The transcript is spliced from 3 exons. The record is from RefSeq and is a predicted model, not a curated record.